GAAAUGCGAUAAGUAGUGUGAAUUGCAGAAUUCAGUGAAUCAUCGAAUCUUUGAACGCACAUUGCGCCCCUUGGUAUUCCAUGGGGCAUGCCUGUUCGAGCGUCAUUUGUACCCUCAAGCUUUGCUUGGUGUUGGGCGUCUUGUCUUGUAUUAGACUCGCCUUAAAGUCAUUGGCAGCCAGUGUUUUUGGUAGUAAGCGCAGCACAUUUUGCGUCUUAGUCCUUGAAUCGUGGCAUCCAUGAAGCCUUUUUUCACUUUUGACCUCGGAUCAGGUAGGGAUACCCGCUGAACUUAA
RNAcentral lists this unclassified non-coding RNA (295 nucleotides) under uncultured Pleosporales. Its description in RNAcentral is "sequence contains ITS1". The stretch from base 1 to 105 matches the Rfam family "5.8S ribosomal RNA", at positions 50 to 154 of the family's 154-position model. The record is from RNAcentral. Lineage: Eukaryota; Fungi; Ascomycota; Dothideomycetes; Pleosporales.